GCCCCGCUUCGCAACGGUGACAGGGACGAGGCUGAGUGAAGCCCAGCACACCAGCACACACAGACACACACACACGCACACAAACUACACUACACCACACCACACCACUACACAGCACCUCUACGCCAUGUAUUCGUGUUCUCUUUUGCGCCUGUGCAGCACCGCGCUGACCAACUCGGUCGCAACACACAGCGCUGGCAGUCGGUACAUGCACAAGCCGGCAGAGGCAACGCGACAGCAGUGGAAGCAUCGCCUGCGAGAACGCACCCUUCAGCGGCGUCGCAACAUUGCAAGCAAGGAGGCCGAGGUUCAACGUUCUUUGAAGGAGGUCACCAGUAGCCGUGAUUUGAUUAUAGCGCAGCUAGCUGAUCAGAUCUUCUCCAAAGGUCACCGUCACGUGGCGAGUGCCAUGAACAUCGGCUUCGUUCCCGACGGCAACCCCGCCACGCCCCUCGUCGCCCUCGCUGGCCGAGAAAGGUGUGGCAAGACGUCCUUGCUGCGCUCACUCUUCCGCUCCGCGCGGGAGGUGGGCCGCUCCAAUCGGCACCUUCGCCGAGACGCCAUGAACUUCUUCAAUGUGGGCGGCGUUUUCAACGUUGUUGAUCUGCCGGGGUGCGGCGGUACAUCCGUGCCGUGGUCGACGGUGCUGCAGCACGCCGUGCUCCUGCGUAACUUUGCUCGGUGCCAGCCCAGUUUGAAGAUGCUUUACUACUGCAUGGACACUCACUACAAACACGGACUCUACAUUCAGGACAUCGACCUGCUGCAGUUUCUCGCACGCGAGGUGCCCAACUUCACCAUUGUCCUUACCAAGGCAGAUCAGAUCAAUGACCGCGCCCUUCGGGCGGUGCACAUGGAGGACAUACGCAAGGAGCUCAUCUACCACGAUAUCCACCAUCCGGUGCUGGUCACCAGCGCCUUCCACAUGGGUGGCGUCGACACGCUGCGGUAUGAUAUGGUCAUGAACUCGGUGCACACGCUGCCGACGGAGCGACUCACGCUGACUGAAGCGCAGCGGCUGUCGGCUCGGUUGUUUUCCCAAAAAGAGCUGAGCACGAUUCGCCCCCUCGCCAUCGCACCGUCGCAGGUCGAUGAUGAAGCACGAGAGUGGAAUGAAGAGAUUCAACUGAGAGAGCGCGCCGGUGACGGCGCCGUGGGUGUGAGCGUCGCUGACGCAGCGAAUGGCGCGGCGGAGGAUGCCAGUUUAGUGGUCGAGGCGACGGAAGAGGAGCUACGGUACAGCGAGGCAGAGUUGGCGGAGUUUGCCGCGGCGGACGACGGCACUAGCGUUGCUGGUGCGCCGGCACCUGCCCGUGCAAGCACGGAGGAACCGCUGCUUGCCGAACUCGCACUUCCACCAGAGGAAGUACCUCUUCCUGUCGAUGCUUCGCGGGACGCGUCAUCAUCCUCGACACAUAUCCCUGUCGUGUUUAAGGAUCUCGUGACACAGAUGGCGUACAAGCGGGCUGUGAGGACGCUCCGCAAUCGUCCACUUCUCCAGUAUGUGGAUGCGACUAGCCCCUGGCGCAAUCCACUGCGGUGGCCGUGCCACGUCGUCCCUACAAAGCACCCCAAGGCGAACAUCAUGCGUUGUCCAGAGGCGCCAGAAAACCCUUAUCUGUUCCAGGCCCAAUUCGUUGCCUCACGCGCCGAUAUGUACUUCCGCCGACCCAACGUCGGCGCUCGCAAGUCUUCGCAGAAGGGCAGGUACGAGGCAGACAAGCCGCUCGCCUUUCUUGUAAAGGCUUACACGAUUCCGUACUUUCCGGACAUUGUUGACACAGCCAUGCAACCAACCCCGUGGGCUUUCCUCGGAAGUCGCGAGGCUUACUACGAGCGCAAUGGCGGUCGCCAGCUUGGCGUUCGGCUCGCCAACUACGCCACUGCCGGGUCCUUGAAUCCUCUCUCUGGCAACCCCGCUCCUCAGAAGCCAGAGCUGACGAACGAACUGCAGGCACUGGAGACGAAGCGAUACGGAGCCCCGAUAGCGAUGCUGCGUCCCCCGGACGCGAAGCUAGCGCCUUCUGCAUUUCCGUUGCACGCACCCAGCUCACCGACGCUCAGUUCGUAGCAUUACCCUUCCGGCUUUGGAAGGUCUUUCCAGUUUUUGCCUCACAUUCUCUCUGCCUCUCCUGAUUUCAUUACCCUCUGUUACUGUGCCGCCGGGGUGAGGGGAAUGGAAGCAGAGGCAGAGAAACAGGGCGGCGUUCACUGGGUCUGGUGUGGUGUCGUGACCUGUCUCUUUGUUGGCCGUGGUGGUGCUCGCUUGCGCUGGUCACAGCUAACGGUACAGCGUUCGCUGAUUAG
This 2307-nucleotide unclassified non-coding RNA is filed under the name Leishmania donovani. Its description in RNAcentral is "gene:LdHU3.35.3570(CDS-product:hypothetical_prote in_conserved)". The record is from RNAcentral. Lineage: Eukaryota; Euglenozoa; Kinetoplastea; Trypanosomatida; Trypanosomatidae.